CCGAGUUUCUUUCGCUCCUUUCAUUCCCCUGAGAAGCCUCUCCUUCGACGCGAUAACUCACACGGUCGCAACAUUCUACCCAACCCGUCUUUUUCGUUAAAGCUCUGCUGCCACGCACAACUCUUGCCAACCUUUGCUGCCAUGCAUGACUCCGGCCAACCUCUGCCACUACGCGUCGUCUACCUCUGUCACCGUCUCAGGUCUCCGCCGCUCUCUCUGCCACCAGUCUCUCUGCCACCCACGACCUACCUUUCGUUCAACCUCUGUCGCCGUUUAUAGGUCUCUGACGUUUCAAUGUCAGUCUAGACGAAGCAUACGAGGCUCAAUCGAUCCCAACAUGAAGUUUAGGCUUCGGUUAAAAUUGGCUUCACGUUGGACUCUCCAACUUUUUAUAUUGUCUGCGAGGUAAACCAUAUUUUCAUCUCCAUUGAAAGUUCAAAUAAUGUAAUUUCAGUAGUCUCUUGCCCACAAAGUAGGACCAUUUCGACGUUUUUUUGGAGGUAUUUGAUGAACUGCUUAGGCUAAAAAUAGGCAUUCAAAUGGACAAGGACGAUGGCCUAUUAAAUCUGCAAAUUUUAUUCUAGAUCUUCUUAAGAAUGCAGGGAAUAAUGUGAAAGUGAAAGGACUGGAUGUUGAUUCUCUCAUCGCAUCCCACAUUCAGGUGAACCAAGCUCAAAAGGUGAAUGAGAUGGUGUCUUACUGGAGGAAAAAAGAACCAACGAUGACAGUAGCUCAUAUCUAUAUGUUAAUAUAAUUUUGCACACUUGUUGAAUUUUGUUUGUAUUUUAAGGGUUAACUUGUGCUGUUGAUACAUUCACUAAAUACUUUACGUAGCUACCUUUAUACCAUUUAGACCACAACUUUAUUUAAGUAAAUUAUUGAAUUCUUUA
This is a long non-coding RNA of Cucumis melo (muskmelon), 890 nucleotides long. RefSeq lists it as uncharacterized. The transcript has 3 exons. NCBI's taxonomy places the organism in Eukaryota, Viridiplantae, Streptophyta, Magnoliopsida, Cucurbitales, Cucurbitaceae. The record is from RefSeq and is a predicted model, not a curated record.